GAUGAACGCUGGCGGCGUGCCUAAUACAUGCAAGUCGAGCGAACAGACGAGGAGCUUGCUCCUCUGACGUUAGCGGCGGACGGGUGAGUAACACGUGGAUAACCUACCUAUAAGACUGGGAUAACUUCGGGAAACCGGAGCUAAUACCGGAUAAUAUAUUGAACCGCAUGGUUCAAUAGUGAAAGACGGUUUUGCUGUCACUUAUAGAUGGAUCCGCGCCGCAUUAGCUAGUUGGUAAGGUAACGGCCUACCAAGGCAACGAUGCGUAGCCGACCUGAGAGGGUGAUCGGCCACACUGGAACUGAGACACGGUCCAGACUCCUACGGGAGGCAGCAGUAGGGAAUCUUCCGCAAUGGGCGAAGCCUGACGGAGCAACGCCGCGUGAGUGAUGAAGGUCUUCGGAUCGUAAAACUCUGUUAUUAGGGAAGAACAAAUGUGUAAGUAACUAUGCACGUCUUGACGGUACCUAAUCAGAAAGCCACGGCUAACUACGUG
Molecule: ribosomal RNA, 496 nt
Filed under: uncultured bacterium
Lineage: Bacteria
Description: partial 16S ribosomal RNA
Rfam family: Bacterial small subunit ribosomal RNA
Source: RNAcentral